This 1543-nucleotide long non-coding RNA is filed under the name Monodelphis domestica (gray short-tailed opossum). Its description in RNAcentral is "lncRNA (ENSMODG00000042084.1)". Lineage: Eukaryota; Metazoa; Chordata; Mammalia; Didelphimorphia; Didelphidae. The record is from RNAcentral.
UGAUCUCGCUCCAAAGAUACUUAUACUCUCUUAAAGUUCUGUGGGUGGGGGAUGGGAAGGAAGAAGAGAGAUGGCCUUUAUACCUGACUCAGUGAUUAGUCCUCUUUGAUGGGAGCCCUCAAUUACCAGGGCAGUGUCCCUGGGGACUAACAAACCAAUGAUAAGAUAGUCAGACUAGCUAAAAGAAAAAUUCAAAUGCGCCCCAAAAAUCCAUGCGGCUCACCAAAGAGGUAAAAAACUUGGAGAAAAGUACCAUGGUUAUAUGUGAACUUUAGCAAGUGGCCCUAAACCCUUCCCAUCAAUUUCCUAUGGAGUAAAUUAGGGCACCUGCUUCAGAGGAUUACUGUUGUAACAUGGGGGUCCAUGGACCUUUGUAAUCAUGGGUUGAUUUAAGGAAGUCUGUAAAUUAGGUUGGGAAAAAUCAUACCUUAAUUUUCAGCGACCUCUAAUCUCUUUGGUAAUCCUAUGUAUUUUAUUUUAUGCAUUUAAAAACCUGAUUGUAAGAGGUGGGUCCAGAGGUUUCACUACAGAGGUCUAGGGCACAAAAACUGACCUCGUUAAAUAUAUAUUUUUUUUCCAGAUGACUCCAAAAUCUAUAUAGUUAGUCCUCAUCUCUCUCUUGAACGUCAACUCUGCAUCACCAAUUACCCUAUGGAUGUCUACCUGGAUGUCCCAAAGACAUUUCAAGCUGAACAAUCCACCAUCAGUGAGUUGCAAUGAAAGGAAUGACAAAAUCAACCGACUAGCAACAAGAAAGAUGAAGACUCAAGAAUUCCCUAUGUGGAUAGAUGUCCAGGCAGGGGAAAGUAAGGUAUUGGCUGCUUAAAAAUAACCAAUUACAGUUUCAGUUGCUUAUUCUUUAUAUCAAAAUAACAUGCAGCAAAAUUAAUAAUUAUGCAUACCAAUAGCUAUGCCAGAAAAUUUUAAAUUUAGUUAUAAUUCAAAUCUUCAUAUAUGUUUAUCCUUCAUUGUUUAUUAUUCAUGAUACAUGACUGUGAUCACUUUAAAAAAUUAGAUGGAACAUUUCAUGAAGUGCUCAUUCAUUCAUGUGCUAACAUUUAUUUCCUAAAGAGGUUGUAGAAAACGAUAACUCUUAUAGAAGACAUUGUGCCUCAUUGUUUGUAGGUAAAGAAGAUGCUUUUCCCCUCCAAGAGCAUAUUGUCUCUACCUUAUAUAAACUAAUGGUGGGAUCUGAGUCUCUAUUGUCUGCCUUUUCAAGUAACAACAGACCUUAGGAUAUAUUUCCUGGGAAGUUAAGAGGUGUCUAUAUGAAAACAAUAUCCUCAGAAUCAAGAUAUGGGACCUAUAUAUAACAUAUGGUCGAGUAUGAGUCAUAAUUGCUUUUUUUAAGUGAAAAACAAACUUCUCCAGCUGUGUCUUCUACAGAGCAAGUACAAUCACAGAAGGGUGAUAUGCUACAGAAACAGAAAAAAGUUUCACUUAGAGGCUUUGUUAUUGAUGCAAAAGUCAGAGAUACUAGUACUUGGUGUCAAGUUCUAAGGGGAAAAAUAAAUCAUAUUUCCUAUAAUUUUAAGAAAACCUG